CCUACGGGCGGCAGCAGUGAGGAAUAUUGGUCAAUGGGCGAGAGCCUGAACCAGCCAAGUCGCGUGAAGGAUGACGGCCCUACGGGUUGUAAACUUCUUUUGUCAGGGAGCAAUUGAGUCCACGUGUGGUCUUAGCGAGAGUACCUGAAGAAAAAGCAUCGGCUAACUCCGUGCCAGCAGCCGCGGUAUUACGGAGGAUGCGAGCGUUAUCCGGAUUUAUUGGGUUUAAAGGGUGCGUAGGCGGAAUAUCAAGUCAGCGGUAAAAAUUCGGGGCUCAUUCCCGUCGUGCCGUUGAAACUGAUGUUCUUGAGGGGGGGAGAAGGAUGCGGAAUGCGUGGUGUAGCGGUGAAAUGCAUAGAGAUCACGCAGAACUCCGAUUGCGAAGGCAGCAUACCGGCGCCCAACUGACGCUGAAGCACGAAAGCGUGGGGAUCGAACAGGAUUAGAUACCCCUGUAGUC
This 460-nucleotide ribosomal RNA is filed under the name uncultured bacterium. RNAcentral's name for it is "partial 16S ribosomal RNA". It matches the Rfam family "Bacterial small subunit ribosomal RNA", at positions 338 to 795 of the family's 1533-position model. The record is from RNAcentral.